UUGUAGGUUCUUGGCGUUGAAAGAACUGCAUCACAGAAGGAGAUAAGAAAAGCGUAUCAUAAAUUGGCAUUGCGGCUACAUCCCGAUAAAAAUCCCGAUGACGAGGAAGCUAAGGAGAAAUUUCAGCAGCUGCAAAAAGUGAUCUCAAUUCUUGGGGAUGAAGAGAAAAGAGCUGUUUAUGAUCAAACCGGCUCAGUUGACGAUGCUGACUUUUCAGGGGAUGUCGUUGAUAACUUGCGGGAGUUCUUCCAAGCAAUGCACAAUAAGGUAACACUGUUGAAAAUUGAC
Tarenaya hassleriana is the source of this 288-nucleotide long non-coding RNA. RefSeq lists it as uncharacterized. NCBI's taxonomy places the organism in Eukaryota, Viridiplantae, Streptophyta, Magnoliopsida, Brassicales, Cleomaceae. The record is from RefSeq and is a predicted model, not a curated record. The transcript has 3 exons.